UGGGUUAGCCUGUGGCCACCCAUGUCCGAGGGUCGGCUUAUAAACUAUCACGACGCCCAAAAAGUCGUGGCUUGGGUUUUGCCAGCUGGCGUGAUCUCCUCUAUGAGUAAUCAUGUGAGGUGCCAGAUCUAUGGCGUUUCCCUAAUGUAUCCGGAUGCACCCUUGUCUUGGCAGAAAGCCGUGGUGAGGUGCAGUGGCGGAAUCGUGGUUUAAUAAUCGGGUUGGUACUCAGUUGUCAGUGUGUUCGGCGAUCCCCUAGUCGGCACACUCAUGAUUUCUGGGAUAAUUCCAUACCAGGCACGUUCCGUUACUGUUACUUUGUCAUUGGUUUGAUGCUGAACUUGGUCAUGUGUCUGAUGCUAUUUCAUAUAACGACGGUACCCUUCGUGGUCUGUCUUCCUGACCUCGGUUCAGACGUGAUUACCCGCUGAACUUAAGCAUAUCACUAAGCGGAGGAAAA
RNAcentral lists this ribosomal RNA (460 nucleotides) under Fasciola gigantica. RNAcentral's name for it is "eukaryotic LSU rRNA". The stretch from base 401 to 460 matches the Rfam family "Eukaryotic large subunit ribosomal RNA", at positions 1 to 60 of the family's 3401-position model. The record is from RNAcentral. Lineage: Eukaryota; Metazoa; Platyhelminthes; Trematoda; Plagiorchiida; Fasciolidae.